Molecule: ribosomal RNA, 301 nt
Filed under: uncultured bacterium
Lineage: Bacteria
Description: partial 16S ribosomal RNA
Rfam family: Bacterial small subunit ribosomal RNA
Source: RNAcentral
CAGUAGCCGCGGUAAUACGAAGGGGGCUAGCGUUGUUCGGAUUUACUGGGCGUAAAGGGCGCGUAGGCGGGCGAUUAAGUCAGAGGUGAAAUCCCAAGGCUCAACCUUGGAACUGCCUUUGAUACUGGUUGUCUUGAGUCCGGGAGAGGUGAGUGGAACUGCGAGUGUAGAGGUGAAAUUCGUGGAUAUUCGCAAGAACACCAGUGGCGAAGGCGGCUCACUGGCCCGGAACUGACGCUGAGGCGCGAAAGCGUGGGGAGCAAACAGGAUUAGAGACCCCCGUAGUCCCUGUCUCUUAUAC